RNAcentral lists this ribosomal RNA (168 nucleotides) under uncultured bacterium. RNAcentral describes it as "partial 16S ribosomal RNA". It matches the Rfam family "Bacterial small subunit ribosomal RNA", at positions 350 to 510 of the family's 1533-position model. The record is from RNAcentral.
AGCAGUAGGGAAUCUUCCACAAUGGACGCAAGUCUGAUGGAGCAACGCCGCGUGAGUGAAGAAGGGUUUCGGCUCGUAAAGCUCUGUUGUUAAAGAAGAACGUGGGUAAGAGUAACUGUUUACCCAGUGACGGUAUUUAACCAGAAAGCCACGGCUAACUACGUCNCA